Molecule: ribosomal RNA, 253 nt
Filed under: uncultured bacterium
Lineage: Bacteria
Description: partial 16S ribosomal RNA
Rfam family: Bacterial small subunit ribosomal RNA
Source: RNAcentral
UACGGGGGGGGCAAGCGUUGUUCGGAAUUACUGGGCGUAAAGGGUUCGUAGGUGGCCAAUUAAGUCAGACGUGAAAUCCCUCAGCUUAACUGGGGAACUGCGUCUGAGACUGGACGGCUUGAGUGCAGGAGAGGAACGCGGAAUUCCAGGUGUAGCGGUGAAAUGCGUAGAUAUCUGGAGGAACACCGGUGGCGAAGGCGGCAUCCUGGACCAACACUGACGCUGAGGAGCGAAAGCCAGGGGAGCAAACGGG